AUUGAACGCUGGCGGAAUGCUUUACACAUGCAAGUCGAACGGUAGAGGGGGCAACCCCUUGAGAGUGGCGAACGGGUGAGUAAUAUAUCGGAACGUGCCCAGUCGUGGGGAUAACGUAGCGAAAGUUACGCUAAUACCGCAUACGAUCUAAGGAUGAAAGCGGGGGACUCGCAAGAGCCUCGUGCGAUUGGAGCGGCCGAUAUCAGAUUAGGUAGUUGGUGGGGUAAAGGCUCACCAAGCCAACGAUCUGUAGCUGGUCUGAGAGGACGACCAGCCACCACUGGAACUGAGACACGGUCCAGACUCCUACGGGAGGC
Molecule: ribosomal RNA, 317 nt
Filed under: uncultured bacterium
Lineage: Bacteria
Description: bacterial SSU rRNA
Rfam family: Bacterial small subunit ribosomal RNA
Source: RNAcentral